This 323-nucleotide ribosomal RNA is filed under the name uncultured eukaryote. RNAcentral describes it as "partial 18S ribosomal RNA". It matches the Rfam family "Eukaryotic small subunit ribosomal RNA", at positions 1470 to 1796 of the family's 1831-position model. The record is from RNAcentral.
CCCUUAGAUGUUCUGGGCUGCACGCGUGCUACACUGAUAUUGCCAAUAUGUCAUUCUUAUCCGAAAUGGAUUGGGUAAUCAAGUAAUGAAAUUUCAUGCUUGGAAUCGGUAAUUGCAAUUUUAUCGUGGACGAGGAAUUCCUAGUAAGCACUAGUCAUCAGCUAAUGUUGAUUAUGUCCCUGCCCUUUGUACACACCGCCCGUCGCUACUACUGAUUGGGUGUUCAAGUGAGAUGCUUAGACCCUUGUUGCAUGGUUCAUUAUUGUGCUCCGAAAGGAAAAAGUUUCAAGCUUGAGUGUCUAGAGGAAGUAAAAGUCGUAACA